Molecule: RNA transcript, 8924 nt
Organism: Artibeus jamaicensis (Jamaican fruit-eating bat)
Lineage: Eukaryota; Metazoa; Chordata; Mammalia; Chiroptera; Phyllostomidae
Gene name: sialic acid-binding Ig-like lectin 5
Exons: 12
Source: RefSeq, a predicted model, not a curated record
CUACCCCACAACUUGGCUUUCUCCUCCCUGACACAGAAACCUAGACCUACUCUGCCCUGUGAGAUGCAGACAUGGUACCCCUGCUCCUGCUGUCUCUGCUGUGGGGAGGGUCCUUGCAGGAGGAGGAAGGCUAUGAGCUUGGAGUGCAGCAUUUGGUGAAGGUGCAGGAGGGUCUGUGUGUCCACGUGCCCUGCUCCUUUUCCUACCCAUGGAGGUCAUGGUAUUCCUCUGGCGAACUCUACACCUACUUGUACUGGCGUGGGGAGAAGACACGCAACUUUAAUCUUGUGGCUACAAACAACCCAAAUAAAGCAGUGAAGAGGGAGACCAAGGACCGAUUCCUCCUCGGGGACCCCAGGACCAACAACUGUUCCCUGAGCGUCAGAGACGCCAGGAAGAGUGAUGCAGGAACUUAUGUCUUCCAAGUGGAGAGAGGAAAUGUACCUACUUACAAAGAUAAGAGGUUGAACUUGCAGGUGACAGAUCCCCAACCUCUGGGACCCAAGCACCCCUCUCUCUUCUCCUCAGACCUGACACAGAAGCCAGACAUCCUCAUUCAGGAGCAUCUGCAGUCUGGCCGCCCCACACAGCUGACCUGCAGCCUGCCAGGGGCCUGUGGAGGGGGAAGACCUCUCACCUUCUCCUGGGCAGGAGCUGCUGUUGACUCUCUGAACCACCAGAACCUCCACUCCUCAGUGCUCACCUUCACCCCAAGGCCCCAGGACCAUGGGACCAACCUCACCUGUCAGGUGAAAUUGCAAAGAUCAAGGGUGACUACACAGAGAACCAUCUGGCUUAACGUCUUCUAUGCCCCAUGGAACCUCACCAUAGGCGUGUUCUUCAGAAAUGUGACAGCUCUCAAGAUAGUACAAGACACAUCCAUUCCCAUUCUGGAGGGCGAGACUCUGCAGCUGCUCUGUGUGGCUGACAGCAACCCCCCUGCACAGCUGAGCUGGUUCCGGGGGCCUCCAGCCCUGAACACCACCCUGAUCUCCAGUACCUCGAUCCUGGAGCUGCCUCGUGUGGGGACUGGAGAAGGAAAGUUCACCUGCCAAGCUUGGCACCCGCUGGGCUCCCAAAGUAUCUCUCUCAGCCUCUCAGUGGUCUACCCCCCACGGCUGCUGGGACCCUCUUGCUCCUGGGAGGAUGGGGAUCUGCACUGCAGCUGCUCCUCCCAAGCCCAGCCUGCACCCUCACUGCGCUGGUGGCUGGGGGCAGGGCUGCUGGAGAACCCCAGCAACACCUCCUACACAGUCACCUCCAGCUCAGAGGGGCCCUGGGCCAACAGCUCCCUGAGCCUCCCUGCGGGGCUCAGCGCUGGCCUCAGACUCAGCUGUGAGGCGGAGAAUGUCCACGGGGCCCAGAGGGCCAGUGUCCUGCUGCUGCCAGGGAAGUUGGUAUCUGUUUCAAGAGUGGUUCCUGCAGCUUUUGGAGGUGCUGGUGUCAUGGCCCUACUCUUCCUAUGCUUGUGUCUCAUCUUCUUUUGCAUAGUGAAAAACCACAGGAGGCGAGCAGCUGGGAGGCGAAAGGUGGCAAAUGAUGAAGACCCUGUCAUGGAUACAGCCGCCUGGGGUUCCCAGCAAAACCCCAGGAUGAAUGGGCCCUCAGACCAGCAGUCACCCCCAGGAGACAUCUCUGCAUGGAGAGAGGAGCAGGAUACCCAGUACAUCAACCUCAGGUUUCACGGGAGGAAGCUAUGGGAGCCUCAGGACAAGGGGGCCACCAGCACCUGUGUGUACUCAGAGAUCAAGAAGACAAGCCAAUGACGUCUUGCUCAGAGCUUAGUCCUGGCCAGAGGUAUCACAGCCUCUGAGGGAAAGAAGUCAGGGACUAAUUGAUGAAACAUGAGGAGAUCUCGUGCAACAUUAACAUUAACCACUGUAAGGCAUCCACAGGCAGAGCAGAAAGAAGAAAGGUGACGGGAUUGGAGAGACUUGGACUCAAGUGCAGACUUCAGCAUUUGCUAAGGCAUUGUCUUCAACUCCUCCUGUGUGCCAGUCCCUUCCCCAUCCCAUGUACGGCCCCACUGGGAUUUUUCCAACAGCCUGUGGACUGUAAACCAGAACUGACCAGGUAUUUCAUCACCAAAAAUGAUUUUUUUUAUUAUAAAAAAAAGAUUUUACUUAUUUUUAUUUUUAUUUUUUUAAAACUUUUUAAUUGAUUAUGCCAUUACAUUUAUUCUAUUCCCCGCUCCGUUCCCCUCCACCCUGCAUACCCCUCCCCCACCAUUUCCCCCUUUAGUUCAGGAACACGUGUCUCAAAUUCUUUAGAUUCUGUAUUUCCCCUACUAUUCUUACCCUCCCCCCUAUCUAUUUUUUAUCUACUGUCUAUGCUACUUAUUUUCUGUACCUUCUCCCCCCUUCUCCUCCUCCCACUCCCCUGUUCCUAACCCUCCAUGUGAUCUUCAUUUCUAUGGUUCUGCUCCUGAUCUAGCUGUCCUCUUAGUUUGCUUUUCUUUUAGGUGUGGUUGUUACUAACUGUGAGUUUGCUGUCCUUUCACUGUUCAUCUUUUUUAUCUUCUUUUUCUUAGGUAAGUCCCUUUAACAUUUCAUAUAAUAAGGGCUUGAUGAUGAUGAACUCCUUGAAUUUGGUCUUAUCUGAGAAGCACUUUAUCUGUCCUUCCUUUCUAAAUGAAAACUUUGCUGGAUAGAGCAAUCUUGGUUGUAGGUCUUUGGUUUUUAUGACUUGGAAUACCUCUUUCCAGCCCCUUCUUGCCUGUAAGGUCUCUUUUGAGAAAUCAGCUGACAGUCUGAUGGGAACUCCUUUGUAGGUGACUGUCCCCUUAGCUCUUGCUGCUUCUAGGAUCCUCUCCUUCAUUUUAAUCUUGGUUAAUGUAAUGAUGAUGUGCCUUGGUAUGUUUCUUCUUGGGUCCAACUUCUUUGGGACUCUCUGAGCUUCCUGGAUUUCCUGGAAGUCUAUUUCCUCUGCCAGAAUGGGGAACUUCUCUCUUUUUUUUAAAAUAUUUUUAUUUAUUUAUUUAUUAUUUAUUUUUAGAGAGAGGGGAAGGGAAGGAGAAGAGUGGGAGAGAAACAUCAAUGUGUGGUUGCCUCUCCUGAGUCCCCUGCUGGGAACUGGCCUGCAACCCAGGCACGCGCCCUGACUGGGAAUCGAACCUCGAUACUCUGGUUUGCAGGACCGCGCUCAAUCCACCGAGCUACGCCAGCCAGGGCGGAACUUCUCUUUUAUUAUUUGUUCAAAUAAGGUUUCCACUCGUGACUCUUCCCCUUCUGGUACCCCUAUAAUUCGGAUGUUGGAGCAUUUAAAGAUGUCCUGGAGGUUCCUAAGCUUCUCCUCAUUUUUUUGAAUUCUUGUUUCUUCAUUCUUUUCUGUUUGAUAAUUUUUUUCUUCCUUCUGGUCCACUCCAUUGAUUUGAGUCCCAAUCUCCUUUUCAUUACUACUGGUUUCCUUUGUAUUACCAUUCAUUUCAAUUAGUUUAGCUUCCAUAUGUUCCUCUAAUUUGUGACUAAAAUCAACCAGUUCUGUGAGGAUCCUGAUAACCAGUGUUUUGAACUGUGCAUCUGAAAGUUUGGCUAUUUCUUCAUCGUUUAGAUUGAUCGUCUCUGGGGCUCUGAGUUGUUCUUGAGCCAUUUUUGGUCUGUUCGCGUCGUCAAGUAAGCGGAGCGAAGCUUUAGUUGUUUACCAGGACGGGGCCACCCAGGUCGCUGGUUUGUGACGCUAUGUGUGGGGGCAUGGUCAGAGAGGGAGCAAUGGUGGUCCUCUCCACUAGCCCAGUCUGUCCAGUCCCACCACUCGCCCGGGGCCUGUUUAUCCGAUCGGAAUUGUGUGAGCCUGCUGCCCCGUGCCUGCUCGCCUCUUCACUGGUUUAUCUGCACGCAGAUGCACGACCGACCGCAGACAGCCAGCCGCGCCUCUUCCCUGUGUGCUCCCAAGCUAGCCCGUGAUCGGCGCCUUUGCCUGCUUGCGCACCACCCGUUCAGGGAUUUUUUUUGCCAACCUGCUCCGCUGCUGGCUUCGCUCCUCUUACCAGUUUAGCUGAGCAUUUUGUUGUCUUUGGACUCCGUAUUGUCAAUUUUCUGUGUGGCUUGGUUGUUUAUUGUUGUUAAAAAUAGUCGUUCUUAGAUUUGGUUGUGCACGGAAGCAAGGUGGUUCCACCUACACCUUCAUCUUGGCGGAAGUCCCAAAAAUGAUUUUUUUCAGAGACAAAGAAAUGGCUGCAAUGCAGCUGGUACAGCCACAGCGAGCCAUGUGCACACCCUGGGCAGGGAAGGAGCGGGCAUGAAGCCCUUGUCACAGAGCAGAAGCAGAAGUUUGGGGGAGUGACUUUUAUGACCAUAGAGCUCUGCUUUGACACUAGAGUGCUUCUGUAGGGCGGCCAGUGCCACGUAGGGUGUGACAGCGCCACCCACAGGCUUCCUCAUUCCUGGCUAGGUUAGUUCUCCAAGGUAAAACCAGGUGUGGUAGAGAGCUGACCCCACCUCUGUCCUUUACACACCCAUUUCUGAUUCCCUUGCCUUGGACAAUACAUCCCAAAACUUUCCCCCUAGCAUUCACUACCUCACCCAACAUUUCCCCAUGCCCUUUGUUCCUUAGACAUUCUAUGGUGUUUCCUACAAAAGUCUUAGCUAAUUGAGAUCCCCCUCCUGGAGGCCAUGCCCCCUUGCUUCACUCUGGCGCACUCCACCUGUCCUUCAAACCUGAGUUCUUGCACAGAUUUGCAUGGAGAGAGUGAAGUGAAGAAAGAGCUCAUAGUCUUUCUUCUCUAUAUAGUUGAUCUCAUUUAAUUUUUUCAGAGGAAAAAUUUAAAACAAAAACAGCCAGAAUUUUAUGGGCAGCACCAGAGUGCACGUGCCUAACAAGAAUCUCUUUGGUUGUGAGGACAGUAGUCUCCCUUAUGUGUGGGGGAGAUGUUUCAAGACCCCCAGUUCAUGCCUGAAAUUACAGUUAGUACCGAAUCUUAUAUAUAUUAUGAUUUUUCUAUACACACUUAUGAUAAAGUUUAAUUGGUAAAUUAGGCACAAGAAGAGAUCAACAAGAGUAACUAAUAAAACAGAAGAAUUAUAACAAUAUACUCUGAUGAAAUUUAUGUAAAUGUAUUCUCUCCAUCUCUUGAAAUAUCUUCUUUUUGUGUACUCACCCUUCUUCCUGUGUUAAUGUGAGAAGACACGAUGCCCUUGUGACAAGAUACAGGAGGUGUAUGACAUAGGUGAGACAAAGCAUGAGACUACUAUAACGGUGACAUGAACACAAGCAUGUGAUACCAUGACAGUCGAUCUGAUACCUCAAUGUAUCAGGUAUUACUUAAUACCUAGAUGUAUCCAAAUAGCUUUGUUUUCUUUACACUUUUCAUAGCCUAUACCUGUGGCUAUUGCCUUUCUAGACUAUGACCUGAUGCUACUGCAUUGGGUGUGAUGUUUGCUGAAGACACCCUCUAUCUUGUUAGGGAAAUUGUCCUUCAUUCCUAGCUGGCUGUGAGUUUUACCACGAAAGCACUUCAAAUCACCCACUGCUCAUUGUUUUAUCUUUUGAGAGUUAAUCAGUCAAAAACAGGUGAGGAACACAGAAGCCCCACUAUGGAUUUCAGCAGCAGGAAUUCAAUGUGAGGAAUUUGCUAUGCCGAUGUUGAAGCACACAUGGAGCGGAAGUGGAACUGUACCUGGAAGGCUUGGACCUUCUAAUCUAAUCUAGGUACCCAGCCUAAAUGUUCUUCAUUCAUAUAUAUACCCAUAUCUAUGAUAUAAUUGACAUAUAACUAUGACAUACACACACAGUGAAGUGCUCACCACAGUAUGUCUUGUUAAAUAUCCAUCGCCACAUAGUUACACAUUUUUUUGUAAUGAGAAUUUUAACAUUUUUUUCUCUUAGCAAUGUGCUUUCUUAGCAAUUUUUAAAAUAUAUAACAUGGUAUUAUUAACUAUAUUAUUACAGUUAAUUCCCGCUAUUAUUAACUAUAGUCACCAUGCUGUACAUUACACCCUCAUUAUUUAAUUAUCUUAUAACUAUAAGUUUGUACCUUUGACCAUCCUCAUCCCUUUUGCCCUGCCCCGCCUCAGCCUCUGGCCUCUACCAAUCUGUUGUAUCUAUGAGUUUGAAUUUAAAAAAUGUUUUUAUGUAUAAUUGAAGUUACAUGGUAUUUGUCUUUCUCUGUCUGAUACUUCACUUAGCAUAAUGCCUUCAUGAUCCAUCCAUGUUGUCAGAAAGGCAGGAUCUCCUACUUUUUUUUGGCAGACUAGUAUUCCACUUAUAUAGACCUCAUUUUCUUUAUCCAUUCAUUUAUAAUGGACACUUAGAUUGCUUCUACAUCUUGGCUAUUGUAAAUGAUUCUGUAGUGAACAUAGGGGUGCAUAUGUUAAUGUUUUCAUUUCUUUCAGAUAAAUGCACACAAGUGGAAUUGCUGGAUGUUAUGGAAGCUCUGUUUUUAAUUUUUGAGAAACUGACAUAAUGAUUUACAUAGCAGCUGCCCCAAUUCACAUUUUCAGCUACAGUGCAAGAGGGUUCCCCUUUAGAACAUUCUUGCCAACACUUACUAUUUCUUGAGAUUUUCUAGACUGCUUGGGGAUGUGAAUUGUGGGAAGAACAACCACAGAAAUCUUGCUUCCUUUAGUCCUUUGCUUGUACAAGACAGUCUUUGCGAUAUGUGAGGAGUCUGGGGUGGGUGGGGAAGUAGAACUGGUUACCUCUGCUUCACAUGUUCCCAAUGGCAGGGGCAGAUCCAGUUAUGUGGAGCCUGAUGUUUAUACUAAUGAUGAGAUCACUGCUUCAAGACAAAAAGCAACAUGUGGCACCUAUGAAUUUUUCUGAAAUGAGAAAACACAUAAUAUCAGUUGAGAAAUGCUAAAAAGCCAAAACAUAAGCCAAUUGAAAAAUUAUAGAGUAUUACCAUUAGUAGUGUGGUAUUCCUCUCUGGCAUACCUGCCUGAAACAUUUUUUGUUCAAACUCUUUGAUUGCCUAUUUAUAGGAAAAUAAUUCUGUCAUACAGUAAUCAAUAUUAAUAUUAGAUUAAUACACAUUAUUAGUUGUUAUAAUAAUAUUAUAUUUAUGUAACAUAGUAAACAGAAAGGGAAUUCAGUAUUUCCCUUGGCACCAAUGAUUGGCAUUUCUUUUUCUUCUAUGUAGUUUAAGAAAGUUUUUAAAUCACACAAUUUGUUACUGGGAUGUGUGAACUGUUACAGAUCAUUACCGGGUUUGGGAAAAAGUUUACCAAGUUUUUUCUUUUAUUUAAGAGCAAUAGGAUUACAGGUUAUUUCCACACAUCACUGGAGCCCUUGUGGGGCUUUGAAGAGAGACUGAGAACAUGAGGGGCUCUGAGGAUGGGGCUUCCUCAGCUUUAAGGUAGCAAAUUUGCUGCUGUGCUGUGGGCCAGCCUUUGGGGUCUCCACUGAAUGGAGCGAGAUCUCCCAUCACACACCCCACUUUGAGGAGACCUGUGCACUGUCAUUGUCCCACAGACCCUCAGACCCUAGAAGACCAUGACUUGUGCAUCCCAUGUCCCCACAGAGCAAAGAGCUUAAUGCCCAGCUUUCCCCUGAGUUCCACUCUCCACUGGAGUUGGGUCUAAAUUCCUUCCUCUCCUAUCAGCACUUGGUGGUGCAAAGGAAAUUUAAAAGUAUCCUCUUUUAGAAGGUUCAGUGGUUUUAGCUGGAGGUGGGUCCCCUGAGCCACCAUGACCAGCUCUGCCCAUGGUGACCCCCUGAGUGACCCUCCUCUUGACUUAAACAUCAUCUGCAAGAUGAUCCCUUCCACAUUCACAUUUGGGCAAGCCUCUCAACCUCUGGGGGCCUGGGUAUAUCCACUUGGAGGAUAUGGUAAAGGGCUGAAGUUCACAGGAUGAUUUCUCAGCUUCUACCCCACCCCCAUGGCCUGUGGAGCCAAAGUUCCCCUUUCAGGCCAGGUGGCAGCUCUUUCACCCAUGGCUUCCUCUCAGGAUGUCCUCAGCUUCACCCCACAGCUCUGCAUUUCUCUGCCUGACACAGGAGCAUAAAUCCUCUCUGCCCUGUUAGAUGCAGACAUCAUGCCCCUGUAGCUGGAGCUUGAACCUGACCCUGGGGUCACCAUGGAGUGGAGGGGGGAUCAGAGUGUGAAUGUACUCAAGAUUGUGCAAAUCACAUCCCUUCCCACCCUGGAGGUCAAGGCUCUGUGCCUGCUCUGCAUGGCUGAAAGCAACACCCCCACAGUGCUGAGCUGAUUCUGGAGUUCGCCAGUCCAGAAUGUCUCCCCCUGCCCACCCCCAAUCUCCAGCACCACAAUCCUGGAGCUGCCUUGUGUGGAGACUGCAGAAGAGGGACAGUACACCUGCCAGGAUCAGCACCCACCAGGUUCCAAACAUGUUUCCUUCAGCCUCUUUGUGCAGAGAUGUCCCCCUUUCCUGCUGGUGUGUGACUCAGGAGCAGCAGGGCUCCUGGCCUCUCAUACUCACUCUGAUCAGAGGGAGCCUCAUGGAACCUAAUUUCCUCCUCACCUAUGGCCUCACCUAGCUCUACUAUUCCAGGUGAGCAGCUGUCUCUCCACAGGGAAUGUCAGUGAUUGGCCCCAAGUUCCAGGUGGGACUGAGCAGACCCAUCUGCCUGGAGUUAAAGUUCAAGGGACCAAGUCCCUAAGCUGAGACCUGUGUUGGGCCUUCAGGUGUGGAGGACCCCAGAGAACAAAGCCGAGGUCCUGACUGACUCUCCCUUCUUGUGAAGAUAGCACUGAGGUGAUACCCUUGGGAUUUUAAUUUGUGUGAUUGAGUGACAAUGAGGAGAGUCAACACCAAUGAAAUAAGGUUUUUAUUCCUUUCACUUUCUGAGAGGAGGUCCCACCAGGCCAGGCAGGGCCCCAGGAGAAGCACCAGAUUCCCUCAGGGAGCAGAUGGAAGUGGGGAGCAGACUAGCCAGAAUCUUUAUUGGGGUUUCCAUGGGAAAUGCAAGGCCGGGCAGGGUGAACAGUUGAGGAUCAGCUGUUAUGAAUAAAUGAGGGGUUUUUUCUU